Long non-coding RNA from Cryptotermes secundus, 791 nucleotides. RefSeq lists it as uncharacterized. The transcript is spliced from 3 exons. NCBI's taxonomy places the organism in Eukaryota, Metazoa, Arthropoda, Insecta, Blattodea, Kalotermitidae. The record is from RefSeq and is a predicted model, not a curated record.
UGGACAUGGGAUCAGCCCCUUGCAAGUCCGCUACCUACACGCAGAACAACACAAACAGAAUAAACGCGCACAGGCUAGCUGACACCGGUGUUAUUGUCCCUCUCGUCCACUCAGAGCCCAUGUCUUCCCAAACAAUUUAAAAGGGAAAACUUUUAUGUUCGUGUAUUAAACUUGUUGCACUUGAUGGACCUGACUGCUAAUUCAACUUACAGCACAUGCAAUCGUGUUUAGCAAUUGUCGUCUGUUGUCUUGUUUAAGAAGAUAAAGAUAUCCCAUAUGGUUGACAAGAGUGAUGUAGUGAGGUGAUCAUAGUAGGUCACGACCGGUCAUGACAAAGUAAUUCAUUCAGUUGAUCAGAAUGAUCAGAAUGUCAUGAGGAACCACGGGUAUUCUGCUGAAAGUGCUUUCUGAUGUGAUCCGUUAUUUGGUGGGAGAAACGUCCGUGAAUGGUGCAUUUGCAUGACAAGUGAUUGUUUUGUGUGAAAAGCGAACGUGGAAUAAUAAUUUGAUUAAAUGUUUCCAACAUCAACACAAAGGAGAGGAAGAAAACGAUUUCAGUUGCUGUCUUGUAGUUGUGCUGUUCUCUAAAUUGAAAAGAUGAGAAAGAGGUGUCAGAAUAACGGAAGAAAUAACAUUCUGCUAGUCAUUCAUGUUAAGAGGUUGGCUGCCCUGUCACUGUUACCUAAAUAUCCGGUCUACAGAAUCAAGGUACGUUUCUUUCCUGGUACGAAGAGGUGUUUAUAAAUAAUAAGACGGUUUUAUGUGUGUAUGUUUAUAUACAUAUAUGUAGA